RNAcentral lists this small RNA (29 nucleotides) under Bombyx mori (domestic silkworm). RNAcentral's name for it is "ovarian small RNA-9813". Lineage: Eukaryota; Metazoa; Arthropoda; Insecta; Lepidoptera; Bombycidae. The record is from RNAcentral.
UUUGUAUUAACUGCCACCUAUGCAAUGGA